Molecule: ribosomal RNA, 253 nt
Filed under: uncultured Eubacteriales bacterium
Lineage: Bacteria; Bacillati; Bacillota; Clostridia; Eubacteriales
Description: uncultured Clostridiales bacterium partial 16S ribosomal RNA
Rfam family: Bacterial small subunit ribosomal RNA
Source: RNAcentral
UACGUAGGGGGCGAGCGUUGUCCGGAAUGACUGGGUGUAAAGGGAGCGUAGGCGGCUUAGUAAGUCAGAAGUGAAAGCCCGCAGCUCAACUGCGGGACUGCUUUUGAAACUGCCAGGCUAGAGUGUCGGAGAGGUAAGUGGAAUUCCUAGUGUAGCGGUGAAAUGCGUAGAUAUUAGGAGGAACACCAGUGGCGAAGGCGGCCUACUGGGCUUUAACUGACGCUGAAGCACGAAAGCGUGGGUAGCAAACAGG